RNAcentral lists this ribosomal RNA (253 nucleotides) under uncultured bacterium. Its description in RNAcentral is "partial 16S ribosomal RNA". It matches the Rfam family "Archaeal small subunit ribosomal RNA", at positions 474 to 727 of the family's 1478-position model. The record is from RNAcentral.
UACCACCACCCCGAGCGGUCGGGACGAUUAUUGGGCCUAAAGCAUCCGUGGCCGGUCAUGCAAGUCUUCCGUUAAAUCCAGCCGCUCAACGGUUGGGCUGCGGAGGAUACUACGUGGCUAGGAGGCGGGAGAGGCAAGCGGUACUCAGUGGGUAGGGGUAAAAUCCUUUGAUCCAUUGAAGACCACCAGUGGCGAAGGCGGCUUGCCAGAACGCGCUCGACGGUGAGGGAUGAAAGCUGGGGGAGCAAACCGG